GCCGGAGUGGCGGAAUGGCAGACGCGAUCGACUCAAAAUCGAUUGUCCGAAAGGACGUGUGGGUUCGAGUCCCACCUCCGGUA
This 83-nucleotide transfer RNA is filed under the name Solirubrobacterales bacterium. RNAcentral describes it as "tRNA-Leu". It matches the Rfam family "tRNA". From Rfam's summary of the family: Transfer RNA (tRNA) molecules are approximately 80 nucleotides in length. Their secondary structure includes four short double-helical elements and three loops (D, anti-codon, and T loops). The record is from RNAcentral. Lineage: Bacteria; Bacillati; Actinomycetota; Thermoleophilia; Solirubrobacterales.